GAUGAACGCUGGCGGCGUGCCUAAUACAUGCAAGUCGAGCGAACAGAUAAGGAGCUUGCUCCUUUGAAGUUAGCGGCGGACGGGUGAGUAACACGUGGGUAACCUACCUAUAAGACUGGGAUAACUUCGGGAAACCGGAGCUAAUACCGGAUAACAUUUAGAACCGCAUGGUUCUAAAGUGAAAGCUGGUUUUGCUAUCACUAAUAGAUGGACCCGCGCCGUAUUAGCUAGUUGGUAAGGUAACGGCUUACCAAGGCGACGAUACGUAGCCGACCUGAGAGGGUGAUCGGCCACACUGGAACUGAGACACGGUCCAGACUCCUACGGGAGGCAGCAGUAGGGAAUCUUCCGCAAUGGGCGAAAGCCUGACGGAGCAACGCCGCGUGAGUGAUGAAGGGUUUCGGCUCGUAAAACUCUGUUAUUAGGGAAGAACAAAUGUGUAAGUAACUGUGCACAUCUUGACGGUACCUAAUCAGAAAGCCACGGCUAACUACGUGCCAGCCGCCGCCGUAA
RNAcentral lists this ribosomal RNA (513 nucleotides) under uncultured bacterium. Its description in RNAcentral is "partial 16S ribosomal RNA". It matches the Rfam family "Bacterial small subunit ribosomal RNA", at positions 28 to 523 of the family's 1533-position model. The record is from RNAcentral.